This 79-nucleotide transfer RNA is filed under the name Hyperthermus butylicus DSM 5456. RNAcentral describes it as "tRNA-Arg (CCG) (tRNA-Arg-CCG-2-1)". Lineage: Archaea; Thermoproteati; Thermoproteota; Thermoprotei; Desulfurococcales; Pyrodictiaceae. The record is from RNAcentral.
GAGCCCGUAGCCCAGCCAGGACAGAGCGCCAGCCUCCGGGGCCGGAGGUCCCAGGUUCUCGGAGCCCGUGGCGGGCUCG